AAUGAACGCUGGCGGCGUGCUUAACACAUGCAAGUCGAACGAGUAGACAGGAGCUUGCUCCUGGGUACUAGUGGCAGACGGGUGAGUAACGCGUGGGCAACCUACCUUGAAGUGUGGGAUACCCAGCCGAAAGGCUGGUUAAUACCACAUAAUAUCGCAACCUCUUAGGUGGAUGCGAUCAAAGUUGGGGAUCGGGGAAACCUGACCUGACGCUAUGAGAGGGGCUCGCGUCGGAUUAGCUUGUUGGUGGGGUAACGGCCUACCAAGGCAACGAUCCGUAGCCGACCUGAGAGGGUGAUCGGCCACACUGGAACUGAGACACGGUCCAG
RNAcentral lists this ribosomal RNA (329 nucleotides) under uncultured bacterium. RNAcentral describes it as "bacterial SSU rRNA". It matches the Rfam family "Bacterial small subunit ribosomal RNA", at positions 29 to 334 of the family's 1533-position model. The record is from RNAcentral.